RNAcentral lists this transfer RNA (73 nucleotides) under Stegodyphus mimosarum. It matches the Rfam family "tRNA". Rfam says of the family: Transfer RNA (tRNA) molecules are approximately 80 nucleotides in length. Their secondary structure includes four short double-helical elements and three loops (D, anti-codon, and T loops). Lineage: Eukaryota; Metazoa; Arthropoda; Arachnida; Araneae; Eresidae. The record is from Rfam by way of RNAcentral.
GUCUUUGUGAUGUAGUGGUUAGCACACUCGACGCGUAACCGAGAGGUCAGUGGUUCGAAUCCCUGCGAAGGCG